CAACCCUACCGACCCCAUCUCUCCCGCUCCGCCGAGGUCUUGCCGCGCCUUCCCGGCGGCGCCCCACCUUUCCGACCGACGGCAUGCCCACCGCCACCCUCCUCCGCCCGCAGUCCCGCACCAUGUGAGGUUUCGUCGAGGCAACGGUGGAUCCAGCUAUGGGGAGCCGCCGAGCGCCGCGCCAAGGGCCGAGUUGUGUGGAUUUUCGUGGCGGUGACCUCGUUCUGGCUCGAUUGUUUGAGAGCCACAAGCCCACCAAAAAUCCAAGAACCGCUGAUCUGGUGAGAUAGUCUCCUUCUCGCUUACCUAUAUUCUCCUUUAAAUAUGGAAUAUGGCUGCUGCUACUUUACUUAUCUGCUUAGAUGUAUGCAGCUACUAGUCACAUGUUAAAAAGGACGCAAAUUUGUACUACGUGAUGCGAUGGUUUGCUCUACUGAAUGGUAUCCACGUUAUAUUCUAAUGCUAGAGCUUUUCUCUUGCCAUCCACUGAUUUCCCAUCAUGUCUUACUAUGUGUGUGCCUUUUCUUUUUUCUUUGACACGGCUUAAGUCACUCAUGUAGCUUUAACAUAAGAAGCCUUCUCGUUGUCGAUGUUAAUUAGAUUACUUUUUGAAGGACCAAAUCCGCAGGUGUCACUUUGCAGAUGUUGUUUCCAGUUGUUCCACGAACACCCCCUCCCCUCCCUCAUGCCCGUUCAUCCACGCGCAAACGGCCAUUUGACAGUACAACACUGUAACAAUUAGCAUGGUUUACUUGCCUGGCAAUGUGUUAAAGAACCAGCCGGAUUGAGUAUUUGAGUGUGCUGCGGUAAAAAGUGCAUAGUUAUUUGUUCAAGGGUAAUGUCUCUAUCAAUACCAAGGAUUACCGCAUAUAUUUGGGGUGGGCAUAUUUCAAUCCUGUGCCAUCCAUGACGGCUUUGUUUGGUUUUGCUUCUGGUAGAAUCCAUAUAUUGUUAUGCUUGUUUUAGUGAAUAUAGUUCGAGUGUAGUGAAUCCUAUCUGUCUUACUAUAUUUCGUUUUGCUUUAUCGCUUUCGCAUUGGGAUUAAAUUGGUGCAAAGUCGGAAACCUUUGAACUAGCCCCAUGUAGCUUUGUUUAUUUUGCUUCCGUUUAGUCUAGUUGUUUGCUCAGUCGGAAACCUUUGAACUAGCCCCAUGUAGCUUUGUUUAUUUUGCUUCCGUUUAGUCUAGAUGUUUGCUCCUUUCCAUGUAAGUUUGCUUCAGUUCAUCUCUAUUUUUUUUCUAUAUAUUGUUCGUGCAGAUUAAUGCCAAUUGGGACUAGAUUCGAAUACUUUAUCCAUUUAGACUGUCCAGUGGUAGCUUUAUCCACACUAAGAUAAGAGAUUCUGUUUUCCAUUCUUUCAUUAUUCCUUUUGUACUGAUUUGCUUUCUGCCAUCUGCAUUUGGAGAUGAAACUUGCUGUAAUCCGUAUAAGGAGAUGAAGCCUACUGUAAUCUGAAUAUGGAGGAUAAAAAGAGACUGAACGAUGGCACAGACGGAUGACGGAUGUGCAAGGAAGUAUUCCCUUUCUUGCUUGAAGUUUUUAGGUAGACUAUUACAUAUUGUUUAGGGUCUCCCCUCUGCUUUGUGUCAAAUAAGACCAAAAAAUUUGAUGUGUCCUCCAGUAAUAUCGAAUUACGUAAGCAAAUUGUAAGGAUCCAAAUGGUUGACUUUGUAUAGAGUAGGUGGUAGAUGGUAUUUGUUAACAUUUACUAUUUUGUUCAUGCUGUCAUGUGAUGUUUGACAAGUGGUUACCCUCUGCAAAGAAUGCAGAUUUGACCUGGUGAAUAUUUUUGCAUAGCCACACUAAUGGAGGGAAAUCACAGGCCAAUGCAACACGUUUUAAUAUCUGGAAAUCGACAAGGUAUGUACCAUGUACUGAUGAAAUUACUUAUGUUAGUUCAUGGAGCUUUCUAAGUGAAAUAUAUCUUGAGGCUUAUCUGCCAGAUGGUUGGUUAACAGUUAAAAAGGUUCUUGAGUUAGUCCUGACAUUAUGGAAAGAUAUCUGGCUGAGGAACAAAUGGAAAGAUAUCUGACAUUAUGGAAAGAUACAGGUCCCUUUGGCCUUUGCUACAAACAUGUCUACCUUCUGCAAUUGUCAUAGCUGCCUACCUCACUUUUCUUUCAUAUCAAUGUCUACAAUUUUAUUUUCAGGAGAUGGGAAAAGCAUGCGAAGAUGAGUUCAGACUGGACCUCACACCAUUUGAUGCCCCAUAAGAGGCUCACUCAAAGAAUUCUCCCCUUGGUGGUUAUUCUCUUGAGGUCCACUUGGCCACCUACACCAUGUCUUCAUUUUGUUGACCAUGUCCUGUAGAUGGUAGCAAAGAAAGUUACACAAAUUGUACUGUUUAGUAAAAUACACUAUUGUUAAGAAUAUUCUAAUAGCUAAGAAUAUGAGUUUGAUUACAUUACCUGAAA
Molecule: long non-coding RNA, 2414 nt
Organism: Setaria italica (foxtail millet)
Lineage: Eukaryota; Viridiplantae; Streptophyta; Magnoliopsida; Poales; Poaceae
Exons: 2
Source: RefSeq, a predicted model, not a curated record